UAAUAGGCAAACUUAUAGAAAUAUAAGGACGCAAAGCUAGAAGCCUUAGGUAUUGAACAAAGUGAUACAAGGUAGUUCGGCUGC
Molecule: non-coding RNA, 84 nt
Filed under: chicken gut metagenome
Description: Cyclic di-GMP-I riboswitch
Rfam family: c-di-GMP-I riboswitch aptamer
About the family: GEMM was predicted in a large-scale screen for bacterial structured RNA regulatory elements.
Source: RNAcentral